Apis mellifera (honey bee) is the source of this 1116-nucleotide long non-coding RNA. RefSeq lists it as uncharacterized. NCBI's taxonomy places the organism in Eukaryota, Metazoa, Arthropoda, Insecta, Hymenoptera, Apidae. The record is from RefSeq and is a predicted model, not a curated record. The transcript is spliced from 4 exons.
UUCGCAAGUUAGAGGUUAACCUAAAGUUUAGAACUUAUCGAAACUAUUUCCAAAUAUUUUAAAUUUCGUAAUGAUAAAAAGACGGAUGGAAUUUCAUGCGUAUGACAGCUCUUCCGACCAAACGGAAGAGUAAAAGGGACAAAGUUCAUCCGUUACCCCGUGCUAAGUUGAGGAGGAGGAGGAGAGAUGAUGGGUCGCUGUCGGCCCGAACUGUACGCCCCUUAUUGUUAAAACGAAACGACGUUUCUGUGUACCUCGUCGCCUCGUUCCGACGAUACGUUUUCAUUAGACGCCCAGAUAUCAGCGAUACUCGCGGACGAGUUCGUGGCUGGAUCCGCAGAGUUGUCGAUCUCGUUUGACACGAGGCUGAUAGAACGUUCGCUUCGAACCAUUGUCUCGUGGAAUCGUAAAAAGAAAACGAAUGGAUAUAGAUAUGUUUAUGCAGGUUAAUUAAUAACAAGAUAUAUAAAUGAUUCAGAUUAUACAGAAUGCGUUACAUUGGCAGGAAAAAUUUCAAGGAAAUUGCACAAAGUUUAUACAAUUGCCAUUGCAAAUGGGUUAGAAUUGGCGAGCUUUUAUUCUUGGUAAACCCACGGAUAGGAUUAAUGGAAAGUGGUCACGCGAUAAUAUAGAUGAAAGGUUUCUAAAUUAUGUUAAAUAGCUUCAUUAUCACGUGGCAUUUGAUUACAUUAAUACAUGCUACAACGAUGUAUGUCGAAAUGGAAAACAAGAUACAAAAUCAACAUCAAACGAAUCAAAAUUAUUUCGUUAUGCAACGUUCGCACGAAGAAUUAAACGAAAUAAAAAUUUCAAUUAUUUCGCAAUCAACUGUUUUGCAGUCACAGUUGUAAAACAAUAUACAAAGAAUAUAUAGUAUCAGUUUAUAGUUCACUUUUCUGAACGAAGUCGGAACGGAAGCUAAAUUGAUACAACAUCGUCUGACCGAUGCCAAGAAGCGAUUAUCCACGGCGAUCUUUCUCGUGUCUCCAGUACAAAAGUCGGCAACAGCAUGGAGAGACAUGUCCACGAAAACCGUGCGAAAUCGUUUCGAAGCGGGCCCGCGAGCGUGACCAAUCGGCCAAGCGUCCGUCGCCAUAGGAUACGCAAGGCCCUAAA